RNAcentral lists this ribosomal RNA (483 nucleotides) under uncultured bacterium. RNAcentral describes it as "partial 16S ribosomal RNA". It matches the Rfam family "Bacterial small subunit ribosomal RNA", at positions 30 to 506 of the family's 1533-position model. The record is from RNAcentral.
AUUGAACGCUGGCGGCAGGCCUAACACAUGCAAGUCGAGCGGAUGAAGGGAGCUUGCUCCUGGAUUCAGCGGCGGACGGGUGAGUAAUGCCUAGGAAUCUGCCUGGUAGUGGGGGAUAACGUCCGGAAACGGGCGCUAAUACCGCAUACGUCCUGAGGGAGAAAGUGGGGGAUCUUCGGACCUCACGCUAUCAGAUGAGCCUAGGUCGGAUUAGCUAGUUGGUGGGGUAAAGGCCUACCAAGGCGACGAUCCGUAACUGGUCUGAGAGGAUGAUCAGUCACACUGGAACUGGGACCCGGCCCAGACUCCUACGGGAGGCAGGAGUGGGGAAUUUGGGACAAGGGGAGAAAGCCUGAUCCAGCCAUGCCGGGGGUGUGAAGAAGGUCUUCGGAUUGUAAAGCACUUUAAGUUGGGGGGAAGGGCAGUAAGUUAAUACCUUGCUGUUUUGACGUUACCAACAGAAUAAGCACCGGCUAACUUCGU